Molecule: ribosomal RNA, 460 nt
Filed under: uncultured bacterium
Lineage: Bacteria
Description: partial 16S ribosomal RNA
Rfam family: Bacterial small subunit ribosomal RNA
Source: RNAcentral
CCUACGGGGGGCAGCAGUGAGGAAUAUUGGUCAAUGGACGAGAGUCUGAACCAGCCAAGUAGCGUGAAGGAUGACUGUCCUAUGGGUUGUAAACUUCUUUUAUAUGGGAAUAAAAUGUUCCACGUGUGGGAUUUUGUAUGUACCAUAUGAAUAAGGAUCGGCUAACUCCGUGCCAGCAGCCGCGGUAAUACGGAGGAUCCGAGCGUUAUCCGGAUUUAUUGGGUUUAAAGGGAGCGUAGGUGGAUUGUUAAGUCAGUUGUGAAAGUUUGCGGCUCAACCGUAAAAUUGCAGUUGAAACUGGCAGUCUUGAGUACAGUAGAGGUGGGCGGAAUGCGUGGUGUAGCGGUGAAAUGCUUAGAUAUCACGAAGAACUCCGAUUGCGAAGGCAGUUCACUGGACUGCAACUGACACUGAGGCUCGAAAGUGUGGGUAUCAAACAGGAUUAGAUACCCGGGUAGUC